AUUUGAAAAGGCAGAGAAAGAAGGGUACAUCGGGCUGCUUCAGGAAGACUGGAAUAGAGACCUUCACAGAAGAGAGAGGCCCCAUAUCAGAAGGAAGUGUGACCCAGAAGGAUGGAGCUCUUCAGAGACAGGCUUCUUUGAGAAUCAAGAAAGAUUCAGAACAGGUGAAUUGAGUAGAUUGUGGCUUUUGGAAACUGAGUAACACAGUAGCAAAUUGCAUAGCGUUUUAAACACUGCAACCUGACUUAAGAGAGAAUCCCCCUGUAAAGGUAAGGCUGAGGGAUGGUCAGUAUAAAUACCUUAGGAAAUGUAGGUUACCUCUUAUCUACCCCCGGUCUCUUUGCUUUUCUUGUUACUGUGUUGUUCCAUGUAUUUGUGUUUGAUAAGAAAAUGAACCGAUAUGUGUAAAAGUGUGUGUAUAUGUGUUUGAAGGAUAGACGGGAGGUUGUUGGUUGCCCAGAUUUACAUUUCUCCAGGCUUAAAUCACCGUGCCUUUUACAGUAGCCAAAAGAGGCACACAGUUCUAGAAGCACUGACUGAGGGUCCAGAGGAGAAAAAUUCAAAGAUGUUCACUAAUAGUACCAGAAAGACCUCAAGUCCCUCUGAGUCUCAGCUGUGGUCAAAGGAGGAAAAUGCCAUCCUAGAUUUUUCUGUAACAUAUUUGGGACCUAUUUGGAGAGAAGAUAGAGGCAUACAACUUUGAGUGCUUAUAGAAAACACUAGUUUCAAUUUGUACUGCAUGUCACCUACUGACCCGUAUUGCCCUCAGUAUGAAAUGUGUUGUUGCAGUGAUCUCUAGCUGCUUUUUUGUUGUCGUUGCUUUUGAACCCCAAGUUAAGUAUGAUGAAAACCUUCCAAAUCUGCCUAGAUUACUGCCAAGAAAGAGAUGGGUGCAUACUGAUCCCAUGCCAGGCAAAUGAAAAACUGGCAACAUCCUGGGAUGAGCUCUCCUGCUGCCAGUUUAGUUUUUGCUUACAUGUGGCCAAUGGUUGUCAACACUCAUGAUGAGGGGGUAUAAGCAUGAGCUUGUCACCUCAAAGGCUAGGUUACCAGAUUUAGCAUUGUUUAAAGAAGUAACAAGAAACACUAAAAGUUUAACAUCUGACAUGGUUGAAUGUGGCUACUCAAACAAUAAUUUAAAAGAAUUAGCAGUUCAAAAAAGUGAUUCCUGACAAAUUAUAUGAAGGAAAGCUAACUAAAAGUGCCAUCUGUUAUGAUUAAAACUAGGUAAAAUGUAUACAUGUAUACAAACAGAACACAAAAUAAUACAGGAAAACUAAUGAAGGUGAUUUCUUGGAGUGAUGGACAUCUGGAUGAUUUUUACUAAUUCCUGUUGAUGUUAUAAUGUUAUGGGUAUAACAAAUUUAAAGUAACCAAAAUUGGUGGAUUUACAGCAAGUGAUGGUUUUUUGCUUGAAAUACAAUAAAAACGUCUUAACCUAAACCAUUCUCAUAAUCAUUGAAUCAGAGUGGCCCAAGUCCAGAUUCUUGUAAGCUAAGCAGUUAUGUAGGAUGAUAGAGUGGUGAGGCCCCACAUCCCAGGACAAAAACCAAAACAGCUCAGAUAUGGUAAUAGGAUUGCUUAAGUGGGGUUUUUUUCUCCAUAAAGAAAGGCUAAUAGCUAAACUCCAGAGCUGAGCUGUUGAAGAGUUACAUGAGUAACUCUAGCCUUGUGGCUAGUUAGAAAGAGAAAAAAAUAUAUGUCAAUUUCAUCUGGGAAACCAUCCAUAAAGAUAAACAAUAGGAAUGGUCUAGUGAUGACAAAUUGUGCAUAGCAAAUUGACCAGAAAAAAGUCAAAUUUUUCCUUGGGAGCAGAUGAGUCUAACGUAUUGGAAAUAUACAUGUUCUGCAAAAGCAAUUAGAUCUGGAGUCCUUGAAAGGAGGCCAACUCAGCUAGAAAGCAGGAAGUUUCACUUCCCUAGACUUAAUGAUGUAGAUGAAAAUAUGGAUACUCUAUGUCUGUCUGUUUACAAUGAGCAGUUGUUUUGAGUAUUAAACUCUAAGAAGACAUGGCAAUAACUUCUGUAAAUCAUAAAGCCUCUAGCUUAGAUUUAGACAGCUUUAACAAACAGCAAGGUACAUUAAAAUUUUUGGAUCUAAAUUAAUCUAGUGGUGAAAGGCACAAAUUUUGGAGUCAUGUAGAUUUGGGCUUGAAUUCCACUUUUUCCUAUCUGCAUGAUCUCGGGUAACUUGCUUAAACUCUCUGAGUAUGUUUCCUCAUCUAUAAAACAAAGAUAAGGAUAGUCUCUUAGAGACCAUUGGGUUGUACUGAAUGUAUUCAGUAGAUGACCUUAUCUAUUCAAGGUAAUUUAAGAAGAAAGGAGAAAUAAUUGUAAAGAUACAGGGUGCCUUAUGAACCCCCAAGGACAUGAAAUGCGGUAGGCCUCAGAAACAAGUCAAUCUAGGAAUUGAAACAUAGGCAUCAGUGAGUACUGAGUGAGUUUGUCUUAGAGCCAAAUGGUCUUUUGUCUCUACAUCGUUUUUUAUUCGCUCUAAAGACUUACAAAUGGAUCAAAUAUAGCCUAUUACAGCAUUUAUUGGUUUUAAUAUUUUAUAUAUCCAGCUGCAAAUUCCUACAGAUAUAAAUUUGAUUAGCACAGUUUACUUGAUAUCAGGUGUCAACCUCUGGUCUAGUCAACUGUGACCUGGUGGAUCAGGGUCUUGUCAUAUGAAGGUCUACCCCUUCCUGGAAUGUGAUGAUAAGGUGGGAAUAAAGAAAAAGUGAUACCCAUCUCUAAAUUGAAACUUGACUUGCUAGGAACAGUAUGAGGAUCAAAUGAGAUAAUGUAUGUGAAGCAUCUAGAAUAGUGUCUACCUGAUACAUAGCUCUAAAAUAGUCUGUGAAAUAACGGGGCUGAUGGACAAAGGCCAAAAAAUCUCAUUGGCUUAAUCUUUGAAACCAUAUUUUGCUGCACCUGUCAUCAGAGAAAGAAGCUCAUAGAAACAUUAGUCAUGUCAUACCUAUGAACAAUUAUUUUCUUGUCCAAAGUGGUCACUCUGAGAAGGAGGCGUACCAGCAGCUGAUGUGCUCAGGUUCUCCAACCUGGAGAAUGCUUACAUCUGCAUCAGAGGCAAGACAGGGCACAAAUGAAAGCUCCUUGCUUUAACAUUGAAAUUUUAUUUACUCUUUUUCUUUUUUUUUUUUUUUUUUUUUGAUAUGGAGUCUUUCACUGUUGCCCAGGCUGGAGUGCAGUGGCAUGAUCUUGGCUCACUGCAACCUCCGCCUCCCGGGUUCAAGCAAUCCUCCUGCCUCAGACUCCCGAGUAGCUGAGAUUACAAGUGUGUGCCACCACUCCUGGCUAAUUUUUGUAUUUUUAGUUGAGACUGGGUCUCACCAUGUUGGCCAGGCUGAUCCUGAACUCUUGACCUCAAAUGAUCCACCCUCCUCAGCCUUCCAAACUGUUGGGAUUACAGGCGUGAGCCACCACGCCCAGCCUGAAAUAUUACUCUUAACAAGCACCUCUGCUCUGGCUAUGAGAAAGUAUCUCUCCCAGGCAGAAAGAAGCAGGCAGUCUCCCAAUGGACAAGCUUAGCUAAAACGCAUGCUACUACCGAAGAUAGGCAGUUUCAAUCCUGCUUGAAUUGGACUGUCAGUUUUUAGAUUUUAAAUAUCCUCUUUAAGUAAUGAAAUUUUAUAAAAUGGGUAUAAUGCAGCUUUUCUGCUGCAUCUGCAGCAGUUGUGGUGUUUAGAGGUGGUGCUGUCUAUAAAAGCAAAAUUAUCUCAAUAAACCUAAGUUCUAUAAUUGAUAUUGUAGGUAACUUUUUGAAAAAAUUAAAAAAUUCACUCACACUGAGUAGUUUCUCUUUUGUUGAUUUGAAUUUAUUAAUGUACCAAAUUUUAAAAAUGUCUUCUCUUGCUUAACUGUCAAGUUUUAAGAACAAAAAUAUAAAAGCAAAAAAGUUAGCUUCUCUCUGAAAUGUUUUUAAGUGAUAUACUUGUGGGAGACAUUACCUAAUAUAUUUCCUUCUUUUCUCACUUGCAGCUUUCCAGUCUUUACCCUUUGGGUCUAAGUUCUACUUUAGUCUAAAAUCAAUAUUUAUUUUAGAAGCAAGGGCACCAAUGCAGUUGUCAGGAAAUGUCUCAUAGAAAACCAUGAUGCACAGGUUCUGAGGGGAAAUGUACCUUCUUGCAUAUGUUAGUGAAUUGGCUAUGGCAACUUAUGGUUAUAGGCUGGAGAAUUUGGGGAAGAAACCCAGUCUUCCGCCUGGUUUAGAAUAAUAUCAGGCAUCUGUAUUCUUCCUUCUGGGAUCCAGUCCGCUUUGGUACAGACUUCCUGAAAUUGCCCCAGAUGAGCUUGAUAAGACUGUACCUAGAGGGCCCUCCCUGCGGGGGAGUAAAGAUAACUAUGGUUUCAUGGUGGAUGCAUCAAGUCUCACUGAGGUCUCAGAAUUGCAUGGGCAUUGUGGAUAUGGACAUCAGAAGUGCUCCUGUUAAACGGUUAGGGUUGGGUCAAGAGAGAGUGAAGGUAAUGGCUUUACUGCAGAUACUGGAGGAGCCUGCUCUGGGCCUUGCAUAAGAGGCCCACUGUUUUAUCAAUGCAACCAUCUUUCCUGAGCCUCACCCAUGUAUCCAGCUACCUUUCAGACUUUUCCAUCUGGAAAAUCCACAGGCAUCAGCAUGUCCAAAAAUUGGACUUAUGGUUUUUCCUACCAAAACCACGCGUCUUCCAUUGGUGAAUGGGGCUUCAGCCUUCAUCCACUUACCAAGACCGGAAAGCCCAGAGUUAUUCUUAGCAAUUCCUCUCACAGUUGUCUUGUCUCCACAUGCAGUUUCUUUCUCUCUCUCUUUCUUUUUUCUUUCUCUCUCUCUCUCUCCGUCCCUUCCCCUUCCUUCUUUCUUCUUUCUUUUUUUUUGAGACAGAUUCUCACUCUGUCACCCAGGCUGGAGUGCAAUGGCACCACCUUGGCUCACCGCAACCUCCACCUCCCGGGUUCAAGCGAUUCUCCCGCCUCAGCCUCCCGAGUAGCUGGGAUUACAGCUGCCCACCACAAUGCCAGGCUAAUUUUUGUAUUUUUAGUAUAAACGGGGUUUCACCAUGUUGGCCAGGCUGGUCAUGAACUCCUGAUCUUAAGUGAUCCACCAGCGUUGGCCUCCCAAAGUGCAGGGAUUAGAGGCAUGAGCCACUGCAUCCAGCCUGCAGUUUCAUUAGGACAUGUCAAUUCUACCUCCUAGUAAAUUUUUGACUUUGUAAUUUGCAGUAUUCUUGGGCUACCUUUAAAGUCCACCUAUUACAGUAUUUUUUUUCUGUCUCAAUUUAAGUCAUGGUUAGUUUCCUGAAAGUGGGUCAUUUAAAAAAUAGACACAUUAGUUUUCCAUAGGAAAACACAGCAUUUUGAAGUAUAUGUUCAAGUAGUUAAAAUAAAAUAGCCAUAUAGUACUUAGUAAUGUAAAUAAUAAAAACAAUUUAUAGAAAAAUAAAUAUAUGAAGUUGUUUAAUGAGAAACAAUGUUAAUGAUAGUGCCCAUACCAGCCACUGAUUUAAGCUGAGAUCUCCUCAAACCUUAAUGUGCUUCCAAAUCACUGUCAAUCUUGUUAAAAUGCAGAUUCUGAUUCACUUGGCCUGGGGUAGGGCCUGAGAUUCUGUAUUUCUGACAGGGGUCAAUGAUGCUGAUGAUGCUGCUGAUGGUUAGAAGACCAUAUUUUCAAUCGCAAGGCCCUAGCCUUACAACUCGCACUUAUGCUAAAUGUAUCUCAAGGAAGUCUUGCCCCCAGACUAUCUUUGUCUUACUGGGGAAAGUUUCAAAUCUGUCUCUUUUUCUUUAGUAUAGGGAACACUGCUCUGAUGCCUUGGGUCUGGUGAAGCAGCACCUCAGAGAGAUGACACAUUCACAUUUUUCAUUGUAGGUGACAACCUUUAUUUUUAUAGCAGAGGUAAAAGCUUCAAUUUGCAUGAAUCCCAGUGACAUUAAGUGACAUUUUACAGACAUGUAAACUCUUGAGAGGUUUAAAAAAAACAACACUCUAGAAAUUCGUGUGUUUACAGGGAAUGAACCUUAAAACACCUCAAUAGCAACUGAGAAAUCACUUUGCAGCGUGCUUAGCCACUCUCAGCAUGUGAACUUUUAUUGCCAGCAAAAGACCCCCAAAAUGUCAGAUGAUAUGAAUCAUGUUAUCCUGAAAACAGCACAUGAAUAUUUUUCCCAGAAUAAUUGUGAAAUUUUUCAUUACUUUAUUCUGAAAAUACAGAGAUAUUCUAAAAGUUGUAAAAAUUUGUUAUUUUCCUAAGAGAAAAUCUUUUUAAUUGACACAUACUAAUUGUAUAUAUUUAUGGGGUACAUAGUGAUGUGAUAUAUAUAAUGUAAAGUGAUUAGAUAAGUGUAAUUAGCAUAUUCAUCAUUUCAAACAUUUACCAUUUCUUUGUGUUGGGAACAUUCAAUAUCCUUUAUUAGCUAUUUUGAACCUAUGUAACAUAGUAUUGUUAGCCAUAGUCAUCAUACAGUGGUAUAGAACACUAGAACUUAUUCCUCCUGUCUAGCUCUAGAUUUAUAAAAAUUUUUACACAAGAUAAUGCAAUUUAUGUGUUUUCACUUUGCUCUUUUUUAACUUAAUGGUCUUUGGUUUUCUCAUGUACUAGCGUGUAUAUAUGUGUGUGUGUGUGUGCAUAUGUGUGUUAGUUUUUAGCAUAUGCAGUAAUACCUACAUAAUGCUUAUUUUCAUACCUUUGUAUGUAUUCUGAAAUUGUAUGUAAAAUUUUUUGGCCUGAGGUAGAG
This 6711-nucleotide long non-coding RNA is filed under the name Homo sapiens (human). RNAcentral's name for it is "non-protein coding TET2-AS1:3". The record is from RNAcentral. Lineage: Eukaryota; Metazoa; Chordata; Mammalia; Primates; Hominidae.